This is a long non-coding RNA of Acanthopagrus latus (yellowfin seabream), 857 nucleotides long. RefSeq lists it as uncharacterized. NCBI's taxonomy places the organism in Eukaryota, Metazoa, Chordata, Actinopteri, Spariformes, Sparidae. The record is from RefSeq and is a predicted model, not a curated record. The transcript is spliced from 4 exons.
AAAAACCUUCAGGGAAAGAGGUGUGAGUGUGUGUGAGUGUGAGUGUGUGUUCGGGCUGUGUUUAUGGAUUUCUUCUUUCUUUUUUUUGUGAAAGAGGAGAGAAAAGUUGCUGCGACCUUGAUGACGACUCACAGAUUUUAUGGUCGUGGAGAGCUGAUGAAGAUGCACAUGAACUCGUCUGUGUUGCCUUCAGGUUACCGUGCACUCAGUCCGAUAUAUGGCUUUCAGACUGUCCUGAGCGUCUGAUUGGUCGAGCUCUCUGCUGCCAGGCUCUUUCCUUGACCUGGGAAAUGUCACGAGGUCAAGAGGAGAUGCGAAGGACUCGGCUGCAAGGCAUUGUGGGACAGCAUCAUCUCCUUUUUCUUUAAAAACGAUGGCGCUGUGUUGAAGGAGUUGUGCUGUUGAUGAUGAAGACUGCUGGUGUUUGAACAACAAGGUCACUGUGUGGCUGAAGAAUAUUCUUCACGACAACAAGUAUCACAACCUGUGAAGAAGAAAAACAGAUAAUCUGACAGAUGGCUGCAUAAAAAUAAUGAAAAAGAGUCGUUUCAAGGCUGUAGCCAUAUUUUAACCAACGUGUAAACCUGUUACUCUCCUUCUGUCAUGAAUACUUAGUGUAGAAUAACCUGAUAUAUGAAGGAUUUGUACUGUAGAUUUAUACAUUUUGUGAUUGUUGGGAUUAAAUAUCAGUUGCAGCAUGUGUUUGAUGAUGUGUUAGCAAAUUACAGGGACAAUAAAACAUACGGGUUAUUUCUAUCAUGUUGGUUACAGAAUAUAGGUCACUCGUGCAACACUCAGUCAUCAGCAAACAGUUGUGGUUUUUGUUUGUGUGUUUGCUUGUUUUCUAGCAGUAGCUC